AUGGAUUAUAGUACAUGUUGCAAGCUUUUCAAAUUGUCCAAGAACUCCUCAAACACAUUUGUGGUUAGAGAGAAUCGAAUGCUUGAAGUUGGCAAAAACUCAUUUUGUAACCAUGGCCAAUACAUGUUCAUACCAAGUUGCAAAUCUGACCAAACUAGCUUAGUACAUAAUUACAUGCCUCUAAACCAAUUUACACUAAAAAAUUGA
This is a non-coding RNA of Vicia faba (fava bean), 207 nucleotides long. The record is from the annotation of a GenBank genome assembly. NCBI's taxonomy places the organism in Eukaryota, Viridiplantae, Streptophyta, Magnoliopsida, Fabales, Fabaceae.